UACGUAGGGUGCAAGCGUUAAUCGGAAUUACUGGGCGUAAAGCGUGCGCAGGCGGUUUUGUAAGACAGAGGUGAAAUCCCCGGGCUCAACCUGGGAACUGCAUUUGUGACUGCAUAGCUAGAGUACGGUAGAGGGGGAUGGAAUUCCGCGUGUAGCAGUGAAAUGCGUAGAUAUGCGGAGGAACACCGAUGGCGAAGGCAAUCCCCUGGACCUGUACUGACGCUCAUGCACGAAAGCGUGGGGAGCAAACAGG
Molecule: ribosomal RNA, 253 nt
Filed under: uncultured bacterium
Lineage: Bacteria
Description: partial 16S ribosomal RNA
Rfam family: Bacterial small subunit ribosomal RNA
Source: RNAcentral